GGAUAAAUCUUAUCAUCUUAAUAUUGUCUCAUAUGUUUUAAUUUUAUAUUUUAUACAACGUGAAUACAUAUUAGAUACCUAUGUAAAGUAUUGUCAACACUCGUAUGUCGUAAAUCAGUAUACCUACCUGUAGUGACGCAGUACCCUUUUUGAGUAAAAGUUGUUCUUCUGAAAUUACUUACAUUGACUAAUAAAAUGACAAGUAGUUAGAUUGAUUUUAAGUAGGUAUGUCUUCAAUUUUUAACAUUAGAAAUGAAAUAAUACAAAGUACAUGUACACGAAAAAGUAAAUUUGACAAGACUGUUCUUUGUGAUGAAUCUAAAGCAAAGAAAAUAUGUAGGUAAUCAAGAACGGUAUGAAUAUAAUGACGAUGAUGAAAAAAUAUGUUUUAAAUUUGAAUACAUAAUUUGAUGAUUUGAGUGAUAUUAAUUCGGAUCCCAAUCAACCUAAACUUCAAAAAUUUACACUAACAAAAUUUGAAAUUUGUAAUAGAUGUUCAAAUGCUGAAUAUUACAGUGAAUUUGAACGGCUAGAAAAUAAUGUCUCUUGUAAUGCUGUUUUUUGUUUGGAUUGUAUUUAUUUUGCAAAAAAUUUAUAAACUGAAAAAUUAACCAAAACUGGAUAUAAUAAUUGGAGAAAAUUGAAUGGGAGAUUGUUAAAACAAUAAAAAACUUUUCAACAUUUAAAAUUAACUACUCAGUAUAAGAGCUAUAACAGUUCAAAAUUGACUAGUUACUCAAUUAUCAACUGCAUGAAGUUUUAAAAAUAGACAAAAUAUGAAAGUAUUUAUAAUAUGUGCUAAAUAAGGACUUGCUCUAAGAGGUCAUGAUGAAAUGUUAUCAACAGUUUCUAUAUAUGAAAUAUUAAAGAACAGUGUUUAUUAUUUGUCAAGAACAAUAUAGUUUUCAGAUUUUUUUAACAGAACAAUUAACUAUACAAGUUUGAUCAUUCAAAAUAGUAUACUUGAAGUUUGUUCAAAUAUGAAAAUAAAUACUAUUAUUAGUGAAAUUAAAGUCUGUAAAAUGUACUCCAUUAUGUGUGACCAAGGAAGGAAUCAAAUACUUUAUUUAGUGCUCUAGAAGUAGUCUACAUACAUUUUUCACAAUAUAAUUAUGUGAAACAUGGUGGUCUUGUCAUUUAAAAUUUGUAAAGCAGUAUAUUAUAGUUUUGGUUUAAUAAUAAAUUUUUUACAAAAUAAAAUAAACAAAGAUACAACUAAAGAAAGGGCUCAAGCCAUAGAAAUGCUCCUCUGCAGAGUGUGCUUAGUGUAAUGAAAUGGCCUUUAGCAAAUAUUGGCGUAUUAAUUCGGCGAAGUGAUCCAUCAGUGGCUGAACGUUUCUCCAUGUCCACAGUCAAUUCCUCUUAAUUCAUUAGUACGCUUAUACUUUAAUAUGAUUAAAUAACUAUUGUAAACAUAAAAUAAAAUAUACAUAUGC
This 1436-nucleotide long non-coding RNA is filed under the name Sipha flava (yellow sugarcane aphid). RNAcentral's name for it is "uncharacterized LOC112686066, transcript variant X2". Lineage: Eukaryota; Metazoa; Arthropoda; Insecta; Hemiptera; Aphididae. The record is from RNAcentral.